This 514-nucleotide long non-coding RNA is filed under the name Ananas comosus (pineapple). Its description in RNAcentral is "long non-coding RNA (ACOM_LNC031371)". Lineage: Eukaryota; Viridiplantae; Streptophyta; Magnoliopsida; Poales; Bromeliaceae. The record is from RNAcentral.
AAAAUUUAAAAUUUAAAAUUUUAAAAUUUAAAUUUAAAAUUUAAAAUUUAAAAUUUAAAAUUUUGAAAUUUAAAAUUUAAAUUUUAAAAUUUCAAAUUUUGAGAUUUGAAACUUAAAUUUUAAAUUUUAAAUGUAAAUUUUAAAUUUUAAAUUUGAAAUGUUGAGAUUCAAAAAUUCAAAUAUGAAUUUAAAUUUUGAAAAUUUAAAUUUAAUGUUAAAUUUAUACUUUGAAUCUAAAAUAAAAAUAAAAGUUAGAGGUUUGAGUUCAAAAUCCGAAUCAGUUUUGAAGAAGCAGCUUUUUUCUACUUCUGAUUUUGGAGCCUUCAAAAUUAAUUUUCUGAUUCUAAAAAGUAGAAUCAGAUUUUCAGAAUGUCAUUCCCAAACACUCUACUGAGAUCAAAAGUGAUAUUGGGCUCAGAAUCACUUUUGAAUAGCUAGGCCAAACACCCCCUAAAGCAAAUAGCCCGCUUUACGUGCAAAGGAGUUAAGAUGACUAUAGAUACCGACGACAAUA